ACUGACAGCCAUGGUUACCGCGGCUGCUGGCACGGAGUUAGCCGGUGCUUCUUCUGUGAGUGAUGUCCUUCCUGCCGGUUAUUGACCCGCAGGCCUUCUUCCUCACUGAAAGUGCUUUACAACCCGAAGGCCUUCUUCACACACGCGGCAUGGCUGGAUCAGGGUUGCCCCAUUGUCCAAUAUUCCCCACUGCUGCCUCCCGUAGGAGUCUGGGCCGUGUCUCAGUCCCAGUGUGGCUGAUCAUCCUCUCAGACCAGCUACGGAUCGUCGCCUUGGUGAGCCGUUACCUCACCAACCAGCUAAUCCGACAUAGGCUCAU
Molecule: ribosomal RNA, 319 nt
Filed under: uncultured bacterium
Lineage: Bacteria
Description: partial 16S ribosomal RNA
Source: RNAcentral